RNAcentral lists this unclassified non-coding RNA (18 nucleotides) under Mus musculus (house mouse). RNAcentral's name for it is "oocyte_clustered_small_RNA12480". The record is from RNAcentral. Lineage: Eukaryota; Metazoa; Chordata; Mammalia; Rodentia; Muridae.
UUAGCAAUGUAUGCGCUG